UAUUAUUUAUAUAUUAAAUUAUAUUAGAAAAGUGAAUAAAAUAUACAAUUUAUAUAAAUUUUAUAUUAAUAAUCUAUGUAAAAAAAUUUGAUUUUUGUUUUUGUAAUUAAUUUUAUUAAUUUUAUUUUAUGUAAAUUUUUGUGUUUAUAUUAAUUCUAAAAGAUAAAUUAUUAGUAUCAAAAUUUAAUAUUAUUAUAUAAAUAAAUAUUUAAAUUAGAAAUUAAUAUUAAAUUUUAAUUAAAAUUGUGCCAGCAAUUGCGGUUAUACAAUUAAAAUAAAUUAAUUAUGUUGGUUUAUAAUUAUAAAUUAUAAAAAAUAAUUUAAUAUUAAAUUUUAUAAGUGAAAUUUUAAAUUUAUUAAUAAAUUUAAGUAUUUUAUAUUAUAAAUUUAGUUUUUAAAAUAGGAUUAGAGACCCUAGUAUUCUAAAUGUAUUAAAUAUCAGAGAAUUAUUAGUUUAUUCUUGAAAUUCAAAAAAUUUGACGGCAAUUAAUUUUAUUAGAGGAAUUUGUUAUAUAAUCGAUAAUCCACGAUAAAUUUUACUUUUAUUAAAUUUAUAUAUCGUUGUUAUAGAAUAUUUUUAGAGAAUAAUUUCUUUUACUUUAUCAGUAUUAUAUCAGAUCAAGGUUUAAUUAUAUAAAAGAAAUAAUGAAUUACAUUUAUAUUAAUAUUGAAUUAAAAUAUUUAAAUUUUUAUGAAAUUGGAUUUAAUAGUAAAUUUAAAUAUAAAUUUAAAUUGAAUUGUAUUUUAAUUGUGUACAUACCGCCCGUCACUCUCAUAUAUGAGAAAAGUCGUAACAAAGUUAAUUUACUAGAAAGUGAAUUUAGAAUUU
This 829-nucleotide non-coding RNA is filed under the name Stenopirates sp. HL-2011. The record is from RNAcentral. Lineage: Eukaryota; Metazoa; Arthropoda; Insecta; Hemiptera; Enicocephalidae.